Arabidopsis thaliana (thale cress) is the source of this 430-nucleotide long non-coding RNA. RefSeq annotates it as other RNA. The record is from RefSeq. The transcript has 2 exons. NCBI's taxonomy places the organism in Eukaryota, Viridiplantae, Streptophyta, Magnoliopsida, Brassicales, Brassicaceae.
UAGUUGCGUCCUCGACUUGGGAUUAGUCCGCGCGAGGAUAAUUGUAAAUGGGGUGAUGCGUCUUUUUCUCACUGGAGGGUUUGUUCAUGCGUUAGGUAAGGUUGAAUCUGUGUACGACCAGUAAUCGUUUAAUCUUGCCGACGUGAUGUCCCUUCUCCAGGGUGGAGUUGGCAGAGAUUUGGGGACACUGAUAUUCUCAUACAAUGUCUCGAUGUACUCUUAACUAGUUGUCCAUGCGACAUGAAUAAAUGGUCAAAGUAUCCCGGGAUUAAUAUGAUAUUGGGAAAGCUUUUAAUGAGUGAGAGAUGCGUAUAACAUGUUUAGUUCAGAAGUAUAUAUCGUUCAAAAUUUUGAUUUUAGUUUGUAUGAAGAAAUGAUUGAUAUGGCUUGGGUUUUCAGACAACAUGGGCCGAAGCCUCCGAUAACGAUU